GGGGGGGGGGGAGGGGGGCUGCCUUCGGGAACAAUGGCAACCGCGGAAGGGCCCCCUCCCUCCCCCCCGCCUCCCCGGCACUGCAGUGGCGCCGCCGGGCCUUUGUUCCAGCCCCCUUGCGAGACCCCCUCCCCGACCUCCGGAGGGCACCUUGGGCGCCCCCCCUUCCUCCCCCCCAAAUAGACCUGUGAUGCGGGCGGGGGGGAGGGGAGGGAGGGAGGGAGGGGUGAGAUCCCCCACAAAGGCGCCCCUUCCCUCGGCCCCGAGCGGCACUGCGCUGCUGCGGCGGAGGAGGAGGAGGAGGAGGACAAAGCCCGGCCAAGGACAGGCCGCCCAGCAGACCCCGGAAGCCCCCUCCCCUCCCCUCCCUCUCCCCCCGCAGCCCUUGAGAAGGUCAAAGCCCCCCUCCGCCCCUCUCCCCGUGGCCCCUGGGUGCCCUUCUGCGCGCCUCCCGGGAAAGGCCUCGGGGGGGGGGUGUCGUGGGGGUCCUGCCCCCCCUCCCGCCCAGCGCUGCCCCUCCAUUUGGGGCUGGAAGGGGGGGGGUGCGGGGGAGAGGGCCCCCCUGAGCUGCCCGCCUGGGACUCUGCCCCCGACCCCCCUGCCUGCCCCCCCCAUCUGCCCAUCUGCCGCCGCCUGGAUGAACGGCCUUGCGCUUGCAUCCACCCCGACCGUCCCCUUUCUAGGUCAGCCCGGCGAGUGCGGGGGCCCUUGAUGCCUCUGGCGCACCCCCGGCCCACAGCGGAGGGCACGUGGGGUGGGGGUGGGGUGGGGGAGGGGAGGCAGGGCUGGGCUCACCCUCCUGCUCCCUCGGCAGAGCUGCACCCCCCCCCCCCCUUGGGCUCCUCUCUUCGAAGAAGACCCCCCUGGACAAUCGGCUUCUCAGAUGAGCCAUUCCAAAAUAAAGGGGAUUGACUGUUGCCUGUCAUUUUCUGUCAAGCUCUGAUCUUUCAAGGCAGGGACAUAAUGGGGGGGGGGGGGCGUGCAGCAGUGGCCCUGUGUUGUGCUGGGGAGGGGGGGGCCAAGGGCUUCUUCCCUCCCUCCCUCCGGGCCUGUCCCUGGAAGGCCAAGCGCCCCUCCCAAGAGCCCCUUCCUUAAAGGCGCAUUCAAGCCCCCAUCCAGCCCCCCUGUGGCUCCCUCCCAUGGGAACUCUCCCUCCCCCUCCCCAGUUGCGCUUCCCCUGCAACUGGGCCCUUUUAUGCAAAGACUGCUUACAAAACACUCCUCUCUCUGCUGCCAGGAUGAGUUGCCCGUGGGAGGCCUUCGUGGAAAAGCCCCUUUUCUUACCGCAGGUUGCCCGGCUCCUUCCUCCCUCCUUCCAUCCUUCCAUCCAUCCAUCCAUCCUUUCUUCCUUCCUUCCUUCCUUCUUUCCCUCCUUCCUUCCAUCCAUCCUUUCUUCCUUCCUUCUUACCUUCCUUUCUUCCUUCUUUCCUUCCUUCCUUUCUUCCUUCCUUCUUACCUUCCUUCCUUCUUUCCCUCCUUCCUUCCUUCCUUCCUUCCUUUCCGUCCUUCCUUCCUUCCUUCCUUCCUUCUUUCCCUCCUUCCUUUUUUCUUCCUUCUUACCUUCCUUCCCUCCCUCCCUCCCUCCCUUCCUUCCUUCCUUCCUUCCUUCCUUCUUUCCCUCCUUCCUUCUUUCCUCCCUUCCUUCCUUCUUUCCCUCCUUCCUUCUUACCUUCCUUCCUUCCUUCCUUCCUUCCUUCUUUCCCUCCUUCCUUCCUUCCUUCCUUCUUUCCUUCCUUCGUUCCUUCCUUCCUUCUUUCCUUCCUUCCUUCCUUCCUUCCUUCCUUCCUUCCUUCCUUCUUACCUUCCUUCCUUCCUUCCCUCCCUCCCUCCCUCCCUCCCUCCCUCCCUCCCUCCCUCCCUCCCUCCCUCCUUCCUUCCUUCCUUCCUUCUUUUCCUCCUUCCUUCCAUCCAUCCUUUCUUCCUUCCUGCUUACCUUCCUUUCUUCCUUCUUUCCUUCCUUCCUUCCCUCCCUCCCUCCUUCCUUCUUUCCCUCCUUUCUUUUUUUCCUUCCUUCUUUCCCUCCUUCCUUUUUCCUUCCUUCUUUCCUUCCUUCCUUCCUUCCUUCCUUCCUUCCUUCCUUCCUUCUUUCCCUCCUUCCUUCUUUCCUUCCUUCCUUCCUUCCUUCCUUCCUUCCUUCUUUCCCUCCUUCCUUCUUUCCUUCCUUCCUUCCUUCUUUCCCUCCUUCUUUUUUCCUUCCUUCUUACCUUCCUUCCUUCCUUCCUUCCCUCCCUCCUUCCUUCUUUCCUUCUUUCCUUCUUUCCUUCUUUCCUUCUUUCCUUCUUUCCUUCUUUCCUUCCUUCCUUCCUUCCUUCUUUCCCUCCUUCCUUCUUACCUUCCUUUCUUCCUUCCUUCCUUCCUGGGACGCAGGGGCACAGGGAGGCCAAAAGUAGCCGUCCACUUCCCUUUGCCCAGCUUGGCCUUUCAAGGCAGGGAGACGGGGCUUUUGUGUCUCUGCUGGGGGUUGGCCUUCAGGUGGCCCCACUGCCUUCGCCCCUGCCUAGUCCUUGUCUCUGGGGCUGUUUCUCUGUCCGUCUCUCUUGCUUUCUUGAUAAGGAGCAGGAGGACUGGCGGCCUUGCAGGGCCAUGAGCAGAAAGCAGUGUGUUUGCAGCCUGAGCCUGGCAAAGUCAGGGCCCUGUUUGCUUGUGUGUGUCGGGGGAUUCUUCUGCCUUGUUGCGUGUGUUUCUGGGCAGGGAGGGGACCCCUCACAGUCUUCUUCUGAAGCUUGAGGCCACUACAUCUGCCCCUAGCCCCAUUUCGUAGGUGGGGAGCUGAGGCAGAGAGAGAGGGCUCUUUGUGAGGCUGGGGGCCUGGGUCUCGGGGGGAGGCACAAGGGGCGUCUGGACUCCCCCUUCCCCACUGCCCGCACAGCACUUGCGAGGCAGAGAGCGCCAGGCCUGUGAGCGGAAUAUGGAUGUGAGCCCUGAAUGGCGCCUCAGGCCCCAGCCAAGGGGUUUGGGCUCUGCAGCCAACAGCGUGCCCUUCCCAGCGCAGGGCACCCAGGCAUCCAUUCAGGCAAUGUGGAUAGCAACUCCCAUCACCCCGGACAGUCAGGGAGGCUGAGUUGCGCAGGGGUCAAGCCCACUGGCUGGCCUUCCUUAUGGGGCUUCUCUCCUUGUUGGAGGGAGAGUCAGUCAGCUGUGGGGAAGAGAUGGGUCUGCUUGAAGCUGUACUCGGAAGUAUUGGGAGGGGUGGUGCCAGGGUCAGGAGGGAACCGUCCCCUUGGGGUUCCAGGGCAGCAGCUUGGCAUGCAGGCUAGAAAGGCCCCCUUGUUUGGGACCCCCACUCCUGCCUCCCCUGGCACCCUGGGCCUUGCAGUGCCAAAGGAGGGGAGCUGGACCUGCAGCCCAAUGGGAUGUGCCCCCCCUUCCAUGCGCCCCCCUCCCGCCUUGGGCCCUUCCCACCUGUCCAGUGGCUGCUGGAGGGGGCUGGGGAGGGUCUCUCGGGGGCAUCGGUCGGGCACCAGGACCCGGGAUCGGUCAGUCAGUCAGAUGCAGGGAGGGAGGGAGGGAGGCUGGAGGCGAGGGCUGCUUGGCAUGCAGCUCACUCCUUGCCUCUCGCCUUCCAUUCAGAAAAUAAUAAGACCCUCUCGGCACGGAUUGGCACCGCGCGCUGCGGGGCGGGGAGGGGCUUUGCCUCGAAGGUCACCUGCUCCUCCUCCUCCUCAGGAAGAAGGUUCUGGUGCCGCCUGAGCUGCCCCCAUGGAGCAGCACCUGCCCCCCUCCCUCUGCUCCUAGGACUGGCCUCCCUGCUGCCUGAGUGUCCAGAGCCCAGGAGGUCCAAGCGGAGAACGUGACGGUGGCGGAGGGCGGCCAGGCCGAGAUCAACUGCAGGCUCCACCAGUACGACGGCUCCAUCGUGGUGAUCCAGAACCCCUCCCGGCAGACGCUCUUC
Molecule: RNA transcript, 3892 nt
Organism: Anolis carolinensis (green anole)
Lineage: Eukaryota; Metazoa; Chordata; Lepidosauria; Squamata; Anolidae
Gene: cadm4
Gene name: cell adhesion molecule 4
Exons: 2
Source: RefSeq, a predicted model, not a curated record